GAUGAACGCUGGCGGCGUGCCUAAUACAUGCAAGUCGAGCGAACGGACGAGAAGCUUUCUUCUCUGAUGUUAGCGGCGGACGGGUGAGUAACACGUGGAUAACCUCCCUAUAAGACUGGGAUAACUUCGGGAAACCGGAGCUAAUACCGGCUAAUAUUUUGAACCGUAUGUUUCAAAAGUGAAAGACAGUUUUGCUGGCACUUAUAGAUGGAUCUGCUCUGCAUUAGCUAGUUGGUAAUGUAACGGCUUACCAAGGCAACGAGGCAAAGCCGAACUGAGAGGGUGAUCAGCCACCCUGGUACUGAGACGAGCGCCAAAAUCCUGCGGGAGGCAGCGGUCAGGAUUCUUCCGGAAGGGGCGGAGGCCUAACGGAGCAACGCCGCGCGAGUGAUGAGGGUCUUCGGAUCGUAAAGCUCUGUUAUUAGGGGAGAACAUAUGUGUGAGUAACUGUGCACAUCUUGACGGUACCUAAUCAGAAAGCCACGGCUAACUACGUG
RNAcentral lists this ribosomal RNA (497 nucleotides) under uncultured bacterium. RNAcentral's name for it is "partial 16S ribosomal RNA". It matches the Rfam family "Bacterial small subunit ribosomal RNA", at positions 28 to 507 of the family's 1533-position model. The record is from RNAcentral.